CAGUCCAUCCUAACCCCAGCCGGCCCGCCUGUGGCAGGCCUCAGCUGUGGCCCAGAGCUCUCUAGAAGCCUUACCUUGAGAAGUGAGCAGGGCUCCUGUGGCCUUGUGCCAUGGGAGCUUCUGGACAUUU
Molecule: small nucleolar RNA, 130 nt
Organism: Lutra lutra (Eurasian river otter)
Lineage: Eukaryota; Metazoa; Chordata; Mammalia; Carnivora; Mustelidae
Source: RefSeq, a predicted model, not a curated record